UGUUAGUCCUCGCGUACUUGACUUCAGUUUAAUUGGUCAGGUCCGGAAGGAAGCAGCCAGGAUUGAAAAUCAAGGUACCGCGAUGCGGUUAGCAGUU
Molecule: signal recognition particle RNA, 97 nt
Filed under: Succinivibrio sp.
Lineage: Bacteria; Pseudomonadati; Pseudomonadota; Gammaproteobacteria; Aeromonadales; Succinivibrionaceae
Description: signal recognition particle sRNA small type
Rfam family: Bacterial small signal recognition particle RNA
About the family: The signal recognition particle (SRP) is a universally conserved ribonucleoprotein involved in the co-translational targeting of proteins to membranes. Archaeal SRP consists of a 7S RNA and homologues of the eukaryotic SRP19 and SRP54 proteins. In most bacteria, the SRP consists of a 4.5S RNA and the Ffh protein (a homologue of the eukaryotic SRP54 protein).
Source: RNAcentral